UAGGAUGGGGAAGAAGGUCGUUAUGGACUU
RNAcentral lists this non-coding RNA (30 nucleotides) under Rattus norvegicus (Norway rat). The record is from RNAcentral. Lineage: Eukaryota; Metazoa; Chordata; Mammalia; Rodentia; Muridae.